CCUACGGGAGGCAGCAGUGGGGAAUAUUGGGCAAUGGAGGAAACUCUGACCCCUCCCCUCCUCUUUCCUUCUUCCUUUCUUCUUCUUUUCCCUUUCUUUUCUCAUUGAAGAAGAAAGUGACGGUACCUUAGGAAUAAGCUUCGGCUAACUACGUGCCAGCAGCCGCGGUAAUACGUAGGAGGCAAGCGUUAUCCGGAAUGACUGGGCGGAAAGGGUGCGUAGGUGGUUUGACAAGUUGGUAGCGUAACUCCGGGGCUCAACCUCAGCACUACUACCAAAACUGUCGGACUAGAGUGCAGGAGAGGCAAAUGGAAUUCCUAGUGUAGCGGUGGAAUGCGUAGAUAUUAGGAGGAACACCAGUGGCGAAGGCGAUUUGCUGGACUGUAACUGACACUGAGGCACGAAAGCGUGGGGAGCAAACAGGAUUAGAUACCCUAGUAGUC
RNAcentral lists this ribosomal RNA (443 nucleotides) under uncultured bacterium. RNAcentral's name for it is "partial 16S ribosomal RNA". It matches the Rfam family "Bacterial small subunit ribosomal RNA", at positions 338 to 795 of the family's 1533-position model. The record is from RNAcentral.